This 406-nucleotide ribosomal RNA is filed under the name uncultured bacterium. RNAcentral describes it as "partial 16S ribosomal RNA". It matches the Rfam family "Bacterial small subunit ribosomal RNA", at positions 29 to 526 of the family's 1533-position model. The record is from RNAcentral.
AUUGAACGCUGGCGGCAGGCCUAACACAUGCAAGUCGAGCGAGCGGCGGACGGGGGAGUAAUGUCUGGGAAACUGCCGGAUGGAGGGGGAGAACUACUGGAAAAGGGAGCUAAUACCGCAUACCAUCAGAGGUGAGCAGAUGGGAUUAGCUAGUAGGUGGGGUAACGGCUCACCUAGGCGACGAUCCCUAGCUGGUCUGAGAGGAGGACCAGCCACACUGGAACUGAGACACGGUCCAGACUCCUACGGGAGGCAGCAGUGGGGAAUAUUGCACAAUGGGCGCAAGCCGGAUUCAGCCAUGCCGCGUGUGUGAAGAAGGCCUUCGGGUUGUAAAGCACUUUCAGCGGGGAGGCGUUACCCGCAGAAGAAGCACCGGCUAACUCCGUGCCAGCAGCCGCGGUAAUUC